Molecule: ribosomal RNA, 433 nt
Filed under: uncultured bacterium
Lineage: Bacteria
Description: bacterial SSU rRNA
Rfam family: Bacterial small subunit ribosomal RNA
Source: RNAcentral
UCGAGGAUCUUCGGCAAUGGGCGCAAGCCUGACCGAGCGACGCCGCGUGUGCGAUGAAGGCCUUCGGGUUGUAAAGCACUGUCGAGGGGGAGGAAAGCCGCAAGGCCUGACCUAUCCCUGGAGGAAGCACGGGCUAAGUUCGUGCCAGCAGCCGCGGUAAGACGAACCGUGCGAACGUUGUUCGGAAUCACUGGGCUUAAAGGGCGCGUAGGCGGUCGAUCAAGUCUGGGGUGAAAUCUUUCGGCUUAACCGGAAAAGUGCCUUGGAUACUGGUCGGCUGGAGGGAGGUAGGGGCAGCUGGAACUUCCAGUGGAGCGGUGAAAUGCGUUGAUAUUGGAAGGAACGCCGGAGGCGAAAGCGGGCUGCUGGACCUUUUCUGACGCUGAGGCGCGAAAGCUAGGGUAGCAAACGGGAUUAGAUACCCCUGUAGUCC